RNAcentral lists this ribosomal RNA (468 nucleotides) under uncultured bacterium. RNAcentral describes it as "partial 16S ribosomal RNA". It matches the Rfam family "Bacterial small subunit ribosomal RNA", at positions 28 to 507 of the family's 1533-position model. The record is from RNAcentral.
GACGAACGCUGGCGGCGUGCUUAACACAUGCAAGUCGAACGGAAAGGCCCUGCUUUUGUGGGGUGCUCGAGUGGCGAACGGGUGAGUAACACGUGAGUAACCUGCCCUUGACUUUGGGAUAACUUCAGGAAACUGGGGCUAAUACCGGAUAGGAGCUCCUGCUGCAUGGUGGGGGUUGGAAAGUUUCGGCGGUUGGGGAUGGACUGGCGGCUUAUCAGCUUGUUGGUGGGGUAGUGGCUUACCAAGGCUUUGACGGGUAGCCGGCCUGAGAGGGUGACCGGCCACAUUGGGACUGAGAGACGGCCCAGACUCCUACGGGAGGCAGCAGUGGGGAAUAUUGCACAAUGGGCGGAAGCCUGAUGCAGCAACGCCGCGUGCGUGAUGACGGCCUUCGGGUUGUAAACCGCUUUCGCCUGUGACGAAGCGUGAGUGACGGUAAUGGGUAAAGAAGCACCGGCUAACUACGUG